Molecule: ribosomal RNA, 306 nt
Filed under: Coelotinae sp. ZZ892
Lineage: Eukaryota; Metazoa; Arthropoda; Arachnida; Araneae; Agelenidae
Description: partial 12S ribosomal RNA
Source: RNAcentral
AAACUAAUUUAUUUUGGCGGCAUUUCAUCUAACUAGAGGAAUUUGUCCUUUAAUCGAUAAUCCACGAUAAACUUCACUUAAAUUAUAAAAUUUAUAUACCGCCAUCUUAAGAAUUAAUUAAUAAAUAUUUCUCUUAAAUAAUAAUAAUAAGUUAGGUCAAGGUGUAGUCCACAUUUAAGAAUGAGAUGAAUUACAUUAAACAUCAUUUAAAAAUUUUAAACAAUCGUUUAUUCGAAUUAGGAUUUAUUAGUAAUAUAAGAAUAAUAAUCUUAUAUGAUAAAGAUAAUAAAUGUGCACACAUCGCCC